Molecule: ribosomal RNA, 331 nt
Filed under: uncultured bacterium
Lineage: Bacteria
Description: bacterial SSU rRNA
Rfam family: Bacterial small subunit ribosomal RNA
Source: RNAcentral
CGCGUAGGUGGUCCUUCAAGUCAGAUGUUAAAUUUCUCGGCUUAACUGGGAAUGGUCAUCUGAUACUGCUGGACUUGAGGGUGGUAGAGGGAGGUGGAAUUCCCGGUGUAGUGGUGAAAUGCGUAGAUAUCGGGAGGAACACCAGUGGCGAAAGCGGCCUCCUAGGCCAUUCCUGACACUGAGGCGCGAAAGCGUGGGGAGCGAACAGGAUCAGAUACCCUGGUAGUCCACGCCCUAAACUGUGGAAACUAGGUACAGGGAGUAUCGACCCUUCCUGCGCCGUAGCUAACGCGUUAAGUUUCCCGCCUGGGACUACGGUCGCAAGACUAAA